RNAcentral lists this ribosomal RNA (694 nucleotides) under uncultured Bacteroidota bacterium. RNAcentral describes it as "bacterial SSU rRNA". Lineage: Bacteria; Pseudomonadati; Bacteroidota. The record is from RNAcentral.
UGAGUUUGAUCCUGGCUCAGGAUGAACGCUAGCGGCAGGCUUAAUACAUGCAAGUCGAGGGGCAGCAGCUUUAUAGCAAUAUAGAGGCUGGCGACCGGCAAACGGGUGCGGAACACGUACACAACCUUCCUUGAAUAGGGGGAUAGCCCAUAGAAAUGUGGAUUAAUACCCCGUAAUAUAGCGGUGUGGCAUCACACUGUUAUUAUAGUUUCGGCGAUUCGAGAUGGGUGUGCGGCUGAUUAGGUAGUUGGCGGGGUAAAGGCCCACCAAGCCUUCGAUCAGUAGCUGAUGUGAGAGCAUGAUCAGCCACACGGGCACUGAGACACGGGCCCGACUCCUACGGGAGGCAGCAGUAAGGAAUAUUGGUCAAUGGACGCAAGUCUGAACCAGCCAUGCCGCGUGAAGGAUGAAGGUCCUCUGGAUUGUAAACUUCUUUUAUGGGGGGCGAAAAAAGGUCUUUCUAGAUCACUUGACAGUACCCUAUGAAUAAGCACCGGCUAACUCCGUGCCAGCAGCCGCGGUAAUACGGAGGGUGCAAGCGUUAUCCGGAUUCACUGGGUUUAAAGGGUGCGUAGGCGGGUAGGUAAGUCAGAGGUGAAAUCCUGGAGCUUAACUCCAGAACUGCCUUUGAUACUAUCUAUCUUGAAUAUGGUGGAGGUAASCGGAAUAUGUCUUGWAGCGGUGAAAUGCUUAU